Molecule: small RNA, 28 nt
Filed under: Bombyx mori (domestic silkworm)
Lineage: Eukaryota; Metazoa; Arthropoda; Insecta; Lepidoptera; Bombycidae
Description: ovarian small RNA-3607
Source: RNAcentral
UGACCGCGACGAGGGCGGCGCGUUGCUC